RNAcentral lists this ribosomal RNA (253 nucleotides) under uncultured bacterium. RNAcentral describes it as "partial 16S ribosomal RNA". It matches the Rfam family "Bacterial small subunit ribosomal RNA", at positions 524 to 776 of the family's 1533-position model. The record is from RNAcentral.
UACGUAGGGUCCGAGCGUUGUCCGGAAUUAUUGGGCGUAAAGGGCUCGUAGGCGGUUUGUCGCGUCGGGAGUGAAAACCUACAGCUUAACUGUGGGCUUGCUUCCGAUACGGGCAGACUUGAGGCAUGCAGGGGAGAACGGAAUUCCUGGUGUAGCGGUGAAAUGCGCAGAUAUCAGGAAGAACACCCGUGGCGAAGGCGGUUCUCUGGGACGGUACUGACGCUGAGACGCGAAAGCGUGGGGAGCGAACAGG